Molecule: non-coding RNA, 635 nt
Organism: Pelobates cultripes (western spadefoot toad)
Lineage: Eukaryota; Metazoa; Chordata; Amphibia; Anura; Pelobatidae
Source: the annotation of a GenBank genome assembly
UGACGUAUAGGGGACGGACCGGAAAUCGGAUAUGUUCGCCCAACGCUGGCGGACAGUUCGCGACAUCUCUAUUUGUGGAUAUGUUUUUUAAAUGUUUCCAAUCUGUUACAAAAAUAUUUAAAAGAUUUUUGGCUGUAUGGACAAAGGUGCUUGGCGAUGGUGCAUUUUGUCCCCCCUAGACAUGCGAAGGAUGAAUAUACCAUAUUAUAACACAGUCGGACCAGAUACAAACACAGAGAUUAGUAUAGCAUUAUAUAGCAAUCUAGGUUGAAAAAAUACACAAGUUCAUGGAGUUCAAACUUUAAAAUUCACAUUUUUAGGAAUCUGAUCACAAAGAAGGCAAACAAAUCAAACAAGCAAAUUUGAAGCAGUGUCCAAUUACGUCACAAAAAAAGAAACUACUUAGAGGUAAUCAGCUUUUUCUUUCAAUAAAUAACCAAUCAACACAUACAUGUUCAUUAUCUCCUUGAAUAUUCUGAUUUUCAAAAAACAAAAAACAAAAUAUCCAGGUCUUUAAAAAAAUAUCUAUAAUCUAAACUGAUCUAUUAUUGCUUUGGAGCUUCUUGAUACCCAUCCAUUGCCACAAUAUACUGUGAGGUAUUUUUUACAAUAAAGCUCUGGGUUUUCCUUACUUA